Small nucleolar RNA from Echinops telfairi (small Madagascar hedgehog), 131 nucleotides. The record is from Ensembl. NCBI's taxonomy places the organism in Eukaryota, Metazoa, Chordata, Mammalia, Afrosoricida, Tenrecidae.
AAUAUUUAAAUAUGAUAAAAUAAUAGUAAUUUAUAGUGGCUAUGCUUGUGGGAUAGAGUGAUUUUUGCCAUGAUCUGAAGAGAGAGGUUUAUUGUGUCCUCCUCCUAUGUGAAAUGGCUGUACAGAAAAAA